CAUGACUUUGAUCUGCAUCCUCAUCUGGACUCUCCUCUGCUGCUGCUUCACAGAGUCCAGAGGACAGGCCACAGUAACUCAGUCUGCAGCAGUGACAGCUGAUCUGGGAGGAACCGUCACCAUCAGAUGUAAAACCAGUCAGAAUAUUUAUAGCAACCAUUUAUCCUGGUACCAACAGAAAGACGGACAAACUCCUAAACUCCUCAUAUACUAUACAAGCAGCAGAGCAUCAGGGAUUCCAGGUCGUUUUACAGGCAGUGGAUCAAACUCUGACUUCACUCUGACCAUCAGUGGAGUUCAGGCUGAAGAUGCUGCAGUUUAUUACUGUACGGGGCAAUUCUACAUCAACAGUCAAUAUCCAUUCACACAGUGAAAAACAGUCGUACAAAAACCUCCCUCAGAAACAGAAAGUGAACUGACUGCUGCAGAGACUCAUACA
Molecule: non-coding RNA, 439 nt
Organism: Melanotaenia boesemani (Boeseman's rainbowfish)
Lineage: Eukaryota; Metazoa; Chordata; Actinopteri; Atheriniformes; Melanotaeniidae
Source: the annotation of a RefSeq genome assembly